CUCUGGACAUCUUGCCCUUUAUUUACUGAAAAGAAGACAACAUCUUUUCUCAGGGCUGAAACCCCUAUUGCAGUUCCAACACGUGUCUAUUUAUCAGGAGAAAAGCUGAAUAUUUCCACUAUCACAAGAUUAUUGCCAGUGCUCGGAUUUUUCCCUAACCUCCAGCUAAAAUCCUCUGAGCUAACGCUCUGAAAAUGGAACGGCAUACCAAAUCUGCGCUCUGGCUCUCAGAGGUGGAGGCCCACCCUUUCUCCCAAUAAACAAUUUUGCAUACGUUUAAACCUCCCUCCUCUGGUUUCCCAACUCCUCCUGCCUGACCCCCCCAGCAAAGAAAUUACGGAAAUCUGUCAUUUCUCUCUUUUCCCUCGCACCUCCAUCUAUCAGUGUUUCGAAGGCAGUCUCCUCAAAUGCAGAGCAGAGCAGGAGAUGGGCAGCGGUAAUGGGAAUGUGCUCCUGACUGUGCAAACCCACACAGAGAGUGAGGACAGGAGAGACUGCAUUUGCAUACAUAUUAAACGAGAGCAGUAAAAAAUGCAGACGUGCAAACCAUUUGGACAUGGCUCGCCUCGGCAAUGUGCCCUGCAAGGGAAUCAAUCUUCUGCAUUCUUAAAGGGAAAAACCUGUUACGGAGCGAAAAGCAAAGCCAGAAAGACGUCCGCUUACAAACACGGUCAAGGUUUGAAGACGAUCUGACCUUCUGCCUUUGCCAACCACGACCUGCUGUGCAAAGGUACACAUAGGAGGGUGAGACCUGGCAUGAACCAACUGCUGUCACUGGUGAGAGAUCUCCCAGGACCCCAUCCUGAGUGGGAACUGGAGCAAGAGUUCCAAGCUCCACGUGCCCACCUGUGAGGGCAACGCAGAGACCUUCCUGAGAUGGCCCAAGCCAGGCUGCAGGGAAGAACUAAGUGACAUCUGGAUAUGCUGAAGAAGCCCAAACCCUGUGUCCCAGUGCCUUCACCUACUGAAAAUUUCCCCUCUGCAAAGACAGGAGCUCACCACACUCAGCUAUCUGUCCUUGAGGCUGCAGAUGGACAGCUGGACAUUCCUCCCACUCGAGCACCGUGUCCUGUUACUGCAGGAACCACCUCCUGCUGCCCAAACCUCACCCCAGCAGCGUUCAGCCCCUCUGCUCCGAUAGGAAAUGCUAUGUGGAGCCCGGCUACCUCCUGUUAAGCCAAAUCUAACCACACCACCUGCUUACAGGGACUGCUUCAUCCCUGCACCUAUAGCCCAGAGCACCUCAAAUGGGAACAUGCUGACAG
Gallus gallus (chicken) is the source of this 1265-nucleotide long non-coding RNA. The record is from Ensembl. Lineage: Eukaryota; Metazoa; Chordata; Aves; Galliformes; Phasianidae.